This 494-nucleotide ribosomal RNA is filed under the name uncultured bacterium. Its description in RNAcentral is "partial 16S ribosomal RNA". It matches the Rfam family "Bacterial small subunit ribosomal RNA", at positions 28 to 507 of the family's 1533-position model. The record is from RNAcentral.
GACGAACGCUGGCGGCGCGCCUAACACAUGCCAGUCGAACGGAAAGGCCUGCUUUCCCUUGUGGAUUGCGGGUACUCGAGUGGCGAACGGGUGAGUAACACGUGAGUGAUCUGCCCCCAACUUGGGUAUAAGCCUGGGAAACUGGGUCUAAUUCCCGAUAGGACUGCAGGGUGGUGCCUGUGGUGGAAAACGAUUUUCUAGUGGUUGGGGAUGAGCUCGCGGCCUAUCAGCUUGUUGGUGGGGUAAUGGCCUACCAAGGCGGCGACGGGUAGCCGGCCUGGGAGGGUGGACGGCCACAUUGGGACUGAGAUACGGCCCAGACUCCUACGGGAGGCAGCAGUGGGGAAUAUUGCACAAUGGGCGGAAGCCUGAUGCAGCGACGCCGCGUGGGGGAUGACGGCCUUCGGGUUGUAAACUCCUUUCGACCGCGAGGAAGCCGCCUGGUUGGAAGGGUGGUGACGGUAGUGGUAGAAGAAGCACCGGCUAACUACGUG